AGCAAUCCAUGAGUAGAGUGGCAAACGGGUGAGUAACACGUGGGUGACCUGCCUUCGAGUGGGGGAUAACGUCCCGAAAGGGACGCUAAUACCGCAUAACAUGCUGUCUUUUAAGAGAGAGACAUCAAAGCCGGGGACCGCAAGGCCUGGCGCUAGAAGAGGGGCCCGCGCCUGAUUAGCUAGUUGGUGGGGUAAUGGCUCACCAAGGCAACGAUCAGUAUCCGGCCUGAGAGGGCGGACGGACACACUGGGACUGAGACACGGCCCAGACUCCUACGGGAGGCAGCAGUGGGGAAUUGUUCGCAAUGGGCGCAAGCCUGACGACGCAACGCCGCGUGGAGGAUGAAGACCUUCGGGUCGUAAACUCCUUUCGAUCGAGACGAAUGGCCUCCGGGCUAACAUCCUGGAGGAGUGACGGUACCGAGAGAAGAAGCCCCGGCUAACUCCGUGCCAGCAGCCGCGGUAAUACGGGGGGGGCAAGCGUUGUUCGGAAUUACUGGGCGUAAAGGGCUCGUAGGCGGCCAACUAAGUCAUACGUGAAAUCCCUCGGCUUAACCGGGGAACUGCGUCUGAUACUGGAUGGCUUGAGUUCGGGGAGAGGGAUGCGGAAUUCCAGGUGUAGCGGUGAAAUGCGUAGAUAUCUGGAGGAACACCGGUGGCGAAGGCGGCAUCCUGGACCGAUACUGACGCUGAGGAGCGAAAGCCAGGGGAGCAAACGGGGAUUACAUACCCCGGUAGUCCUGGCCCUAAACGAUGAAUGCUUGGUGUGGCGGGUAUCGAUCCCUGCCGUGCCGAAGCUAACGCAUUAAGCAUUCCGCCUGGGGAGUACGGUCGCAAGGCUG
This 842-nucleotide ribosomal RNA is filed under the name uncultured Acidobacteriota bacterium. Its description in RNAcentral is "bacterial SSU rRNA". It matches the Rfam family "Bacterial small subunit ribosomal RNA", at positions 78 to 896 of the family's 1533-position model. The record is from RNAcentral. Lineage: Bacteria; Pseudomonadati; Acidobacteriota.